Molecule: long non-coding RNA, 3424 nt
Organism: Mustela erminea (ermine)
Lineage: Eukaryota; Metazoa; Chordata; Mammalia; Carnivora; Mustelidae
Exons: 6
Source: RefSeq, a predicted model, not a curated record
GUCACAAAGAAUAACUGGGGAGCAGAAAAAGCUUCAAGUCUGACUACUUACACAUACGACUGUCAACAAGAUUCCAAGAGACUGCAAGUGAGUCUUUGGUCACUGGUGCAAAGAUAAAGGUCUAGGAAGAUAAGAUGUUGCGUCAUGUUCACCAUGAGGGCUGCUCUCAUCCCUCUUGGACUGCACCCAGGCUUCUGAGGAUAAACAGGGCAGCGUGCAUCCAGCACAGGCAAGGAUCUGGUUCUUGACUAGAAGCGGAUAUUUGACUUCAAGGAUCCUUCCUGAAGGACCGGGAUUCUGCCCAGUCAACUUGACAGAGACAUUCCUGAGGUCUCCAGGCUUUGCAGGUAGAAUUCAGAAGUUCAGCUUUGGAGAUCCAGUUCUGUUCAACGAAAUCCUUUGAUGAGAGACACAUCCUACGGUGUUGUAGUUUCCUCUGCAGAUUCUCUCCACCACACAAAUCACCUCACGCUAUUAGUGGAAGAAGAGGAAGUUCUAAAUUGGGCCCCUCUCGUCUGGCACUAUCCACUGCCCUGAUGGAUACCCUGAAGCCCCAACCUUCCACGCCCGCUCAGGAAGUCCUCAGUUCCAUGCAGAAAAAAGUCGGAAACGUGCCCGCAACCUUUAGUCCCAACUCGCCCCCAGCGGGCGUGACCACCCGGAGCUCAGUGUCCCGGCCAGGCCCGAUCCCCACAGGGGUGCCGCGGGGUGAGGGCAGGAAGACGGCAGGUACCUUAUGCUCGUCCCGAAGGUGGCUGUCCAGUUCCUCCGUGUGCUUGGUCUCAUAGUAGCAGAGCUGGCAUUUGUAAGGUUUUAGUUCGUUGUGCUUUUCUAUGUGUUGCUGGAGGCUCUCGUCACUGGAGCAGGUGAAGGUGCACUUAUCACAGCGGAAAACUACUCCCUGCAAGUAUUUGGACAGUUUGGAACGGCACACUUCGAUGGGGACAACUCGCUCUUCUGUGGAAACAAAUUGAAUGGAAAGAUGGAAGUUUUUACUGAUGGUCCGCACGCGCUCUGUCUUUGGAAUAAAGGAAGGAACUCAACCGGUUUUGCUACCUUUCGUGGGUGUCCAUGAACUCAUGUGCACACUGCCUCUCCCUCCGUUCCCCAAACAGCAUCUUCUGGUCCAGGGGUGACAACCAAAAAUGCCUCCGGACAAAGGCACCCUGACUCCGGCUGAUGACCACUACUCGACACCAAGUGUCAGCAUUACCUCCAGCCGCUCUGGCUAAGACACGGGUGCAAGCCGGCGCCCAAGCACGAGAUGGGUACAGGCUGAACCCCUGGGACGGGCCCAAUGCCUCAGGGGCUCACGGGCAGUGCUCCCAUGGACUUUUCUGCCGCCUUGACGCUGCAACCCCCUUUGCUCUGUGUUGGCUCCCACUCUGGGUUGUGUCAUUUCUGCUGCAUGCACUCUGUCUCCAGCCCUGCCGACUGCCAGGGAGAUGGACCACAGCUGGUCUAACAGCCCCCGUAAUGAUGCCUCCAGCACCUUGGAGACAGCCGUGCGGCCAAGCCUCCAGUCUUCGCUUCUCCCCAUAAAGAAUCGCUUCUUUCAGACUGGGGUUUUACAGGCCUCCCUUUCAACUGCUCUACCACCUUAGUUUUCUUUGCAGUUUCCCAUUUCACUAUGUAGGUCUAAGUGAAUCUUAACAAAGUCAUGAGCCCUCAAAAUAGCCUGGAGUUUAAAUAAUAAUGAUUCAUAAAUGACCAUGGCGAUUUACCAGGAGCUCACUCUGUUUCAAGCACUGUUAGGCAUUCUACCCUCAUGGUUAAAUUUUUAUUCUCGAAAGACUCUGCAAGUCAGUUUUAUUACCUUUAGUUUAUUGGUGUGGAAGCUGAGGACUGGCCUGCUGCACGCCUUCCUCAAAGUCAUGCCUCUGGUUCAGAACAAAGUUGUGACCUGGGAGCACAGGUCUCCUGGCUGACCUGUGCCAGAACCCUCCUCUCCUUCACCCCCGGAAAAGAACUCUCUUGGAUCAUUAGAUCCGCAUGCCGUUCACUGAUGAGCCUCUGAUUCCUAACCGAUUAAGAGUUCAAGAGCUACAGACAUAUCUAAGGCAACCAUUUCUAGUUGAACUUCUUUCGAGUAUCUUCUGAAUCAGGUAAGAGGCAGCUUCCUGCUUGCUUCCUCACUCUGAAACAUCAGACUUCUCAUUUCCAAACGAAGUCAUCCCCAACAUUCCAAGUCUCUGGGUUACGUGGAUUUGUACUAAGAUGUUCAUUUUAGGGGGAAAAAAAGUUAAUUUUUCUACCUGAAAACACGACUAACACGACCAAGAUAAAAAACAAGACAGACUUGGAAAGGUGGGCAAAUCACUGACAGUGCCUUCUGAAUGAGGUUAUUCAUUACUGAGGCAAGUCAAGGACAUAAAGUUAGAGACUGGAAUGUUUCCAGGUAUGGAUGGAGCCCUGUCUGGGCUACAGAAGCCCAGGGCUCAAGGCUUUUUUUUUUUUAAUAUGGAGGCAGCGACAACUGUGGGUCUUUCUUGACUUCACACCUCUCAAAAUUACCUUGGGUAAGAAACCAAGGCUUGAAUCACACUCAUUGUGACUCAGCUUCCAGAGCUGGCUGCAAAAAUAUUAUGACUUCACCAGUUUGACUACAAGAUAGAUUGUGUCUCUCAUCUCUUCCUACUCAAAGGCUGCUUGGUGCUGCAGCUGGACACGAAGCCCAGGAGGAAUGCCCCACGGAAGCCUGUGGGAACCCAAGCGCAACAGAGCCUAGAAGGGUGUGUUGUCAAGCUCCCGUGGAGCUCAGUGGAAGAAUCGGCUGAAUUCCAACUACCAAGAGGGCGGAGGGUCACUUCUGCUCAAAACAGAGAAAAACCACAUCACUGUGGAGUCCAGAGUCACCAAGUAAAAAUUCUUCCUGAAAGGCAGACCACAGCACACUUGGGUUUCCUCCCCACAACGUGCCAAGUCUGAACGAAGCAGGGAGAGAUCUGGAAGUCAUUCACGCCAACAAACUCCGUAUGCAAAUGAUCCUGCUCCGGGGCUGAGACCCUCUUUGGGCCAAACCAAAGCCCCACCUAUUACUCUAGGCCAAGUAAGUGACAAAAGCUGAGUACUAGAAAGCCAUUAGGAAAAGAACAAUAGUUCCUAAAAAAACAAUGGAGUCCAAAACAUGACCAUAAAUGGACACACACAAACGUAAGGACAAUGGCUCCUGGUGCACCAAAGGUGUGCAAGAUACAUCCAGGCAAAGCUGUCUGUGCACAAGGCAUCGUGAUUCCAGUGAUGGUGAUAAACUCAGUGGAAAUGUACUCAUGAGAAUAUUCCCUAUUCAUGGUCUCUCUUCCCAUUAAAGUUCAAGUUCCUUCAGUGCACAGACUGCCUGACUCUUCAUGGCUGUAUCCCUAGGGAUUAAAACAAUGCUAGCAUUAUAGUGAAUGUUCAAUAAAUAUUUGUUGCAUUGAAUGAA